Molecule: ribosomal RNA, 420 nt
Filed under: Myzostoma insigne
Lineage: Eukaryota; Metazoa; Annelida; Myzostomida; Myzostomatidae
Description: partial 16S ribosomal RNA
Source: RNAcentral
UCUGCUCAAUGUUAUUAUAUAAAUAGCUGCAUCAUAUGUACUAAGGUAGCGUAAUAAUUUGCCUUUUAAUUGAAGGAUUGUAUGAAAGAAAAUACAAAAAAAUUUACUGUCUCUAUAUUAUAAGUAAAAAUUAAUCUAUAAGUGAAAAAGCUUAUAUUCAAUAAAUAGACAAGAAGACCCUGUUGAGCUUUUUCUAAAAAUUAAUAUUUAGAUUUUGUUGGGGCAACAUUAAUUAUAUUUAAUCAAUUUCAUUAUUACAAGAAUAAAUUCUUCUUAUUUAUCUUAUUAUAUAAAAUAUUAAUAAGUUACCCCAGGGAUAACAGGUUAAUUUUUUUUUAGAGUUCAAAUUAACAAAAAAGUUUGGCACCUCAAUGUUGGCUUAAGAUUUCAUUUAAAAGUAACAAUUUAAAUUGUUGGUUU